This is a small nucleolar RNA of Hippopotamus amphibius kiboko, 135 nucleotides long. RefSeq annotates it as small nucleolar RNA U109. The record is from RefSeq and is a predicted model, not a curated record. The transcript has a single exon. Lineage: Eukaryota; Metazoa; Chordata; Mammalia; Artiodactyla; Hippopotamidae.
UUGCAUGUGGAAAUGUCUGCUCCUCAUUCCUUUGGAAGCAGGAAUACAUCCAUAACAUGCUACAUUAGAAAAGGAGUUCUCAGGGCUGCCAACCUUACAGUAGAGGUUGAGUAGUAGUAUAUUUCUCCUACAUAA